GCACGCAUAGCCUAAUUGGAUAAGGCGCUUGCCUACGGAGCAAGAGAUUGUGGGUUCAAGUCCCACUGUGUGCU
Blastocystis hominis is the source of this 74-nucleotide transfer RNA. It matches the Rfam family "tRNA". Rfam says of the family: Transfer RNA (tRNA) molecules are approximately 80 nucleotides in length. Their secondary structure includes four short double-helical elements and three loops (D, anti-codon, and T loops). Further hydrogen bonds mediate the characteristic L-shaped molecular structure. tRNAs have two regions of fundamental functional importance: the anti-codon, which is responsible for specific mRNA codon recognition, and the 3' end, to which the tRNAs corresponding amino acid is attached (by aminoacyl-tRNA synthetases). tRNAs cope with the degeneracy of the genetic code in two manners: having more than one tRNA (with a specific anti-codon) for a particular amino acid; and 'wobble' base-pairing, i.e. permitting non-standard base-pairing at the 3rd anti-codon position. The record is from Rfam. Lineage: Eukaryota; Bigyra; Opalinata; Blastocystidae.